GACGAACGCUGGCGGCGUGCUUAACACAUGCAAGUCGAACGGAAAGGCCCUGCUUGCAGGGUACUCGAGUGGCGAACGGGUGAGUAACACGUGGGUGAUCUGCCCUGCACUUCGGGAUAAGCCUGGGAAACUGGGUCUAAUACCGGAUAGGAGCCAUUUUUAGUGUGAUGGUUGGAAAGUUUUUUCGGUGUAGGAUGAGCUCGCGGGCUAUCAGCUUGUUGGUGGGGUAAUGGCCUACCAAGGCGGCGACGGGUAGCCGGCCUGAGAGGGUGGACGGCCACACUGGGACUGAGAUACGGCCCCGACUCCUACGGGAGGCAGCAGUGGGGAAUAUUGCACAAUGGGCGCCAGCCUGAUGCAGCGACGCCGCGUGGGGGAUGACGGCCUUCGGGUUGUAAACUCCUUUCGCUAGGGACGAAGCUUUUUGUGACGGUACCUAGAUAAGAAGCACCGGCUAACUACGUG
This 465-nucleotide ribosomal RNA is filed under the name uncultured bacterium. RNAcentral's name for it is "partial 16S ribosomal RNA". It matches the Rfam family "Bacterial small subunit ribosomal RNA", at positions 28 to 507 of the family's 1533-position model. The record is from RNAcentral.